RNAcentral lists this long non-coding RNA (656 nucleotides) under Rhinopithecus bieti (black snub-nosed monkey). Its description in RNAcentral is "lncRNA (ENSRBIG00000046063.1)". The record is from RNAcentral. Lineage: Eukaryota; Metazoa; Chordata; Mammalia; Primates; Cercopithecidae.
CUUUGACCAGUGGGGAAGACCAGAGCCCUGUCCCUGCUUGUCCCUUUAGGGACGUUGCUGAGAAGCUGGUACCUCAAAAAUCAGGGUCUCCAGUUUCCCUAUCGUUCCUAGCAGAGGGGAAGUCAGAGGCCCAGAGGAGUAGCAAGUCCAAAGUCACACAGCAAGUCUGGUCAGGACCAGCUUGGGGUCAGCUCUUGCCACAGUUCCACCCACUGUAGAGUCCUGGUGUCUGGCGGGGGUCCUGCCUACUGGCCCUGUUGCCCCCCCAGCCCCCAGUGACUGCAGCCUCUGCCUCUGCAGGGCCUGGAAAUUCACACCACCAGCAAUUGCCAGCACUUUGUGUCCCAAGUGGACACCCAGGUGAGAGCCCCACACCCUUUCCAGCCACCCAUCCCUGAAGCCUCUCACCUGCAAACCAGGCCAACCUCAGGCCCCAUUCCCCACACCAGGUUCCCACUGACUCCCAGCUGCAGAUCCAACCUGGAGACGAGGUUGUCCAGAUCAACGAGCAGGUGGUGGUGGGAUGGCCCCGUAAGAACAUGGUGAGGGAGCUGCUGCGGGAGCCAGCCGGACUCAGCUUAGUGCUAAAGAAGAUCCCGAUACCGGAGACCCCCCCACAGGUACCUUCCCCGGCCGCCCCCAAGCUGCCUUCAGAC